ACUAACGCUGGCGGCGUGCCUAACACAUGCAAGUCGAACGGGCUGUAGCAAUACAGUUAGUGGCAGACGGGUGAGUAACACGUAGAUAACGUACCCCUCCGCUGGGGAUAGCCACUGGAAACGGUGGGUAAAACCGAAUACUCUGUCUUUGGGGCAUCCUGAGGACAGGAAAAUUCCGGUGCGGAGGGAGCGGUUUGCGUCCUAUCAGCUAGUUGGUGAGGUAACGGCUCACCAAGGCGACGACGGGUAGCCGGUCUGAGAGGAUGAUCGGCCACACUGGCACUGAGAUACGGGCCAGACUCUUACGGGAGGCAGCAGUGAGGGAUUUUGCGCAAUGGAGGAAACUCUGACGCAGCGACGCCGCGUGCGGGACGAAGCCUUUCGGGGUGUAAACCGCUGUCAGUGGAGAAGAGAUAGGACGGUAUCCACUGAGGAAGCCUCGGCUAACUACGU
RNAcentral lists this ribosomal RNA (453 nucleotides) under uncultured bacterium. RNAcentral describes it as "bacterial SSU rRNA". It matches the Rfam family "Bacterial small subunit ribosomal RNA", at positions 29 to 506 of the family's 1533-position model. The record is from RNAcentral.